This 238-nucleotide ribosomal RNA is filed under the name uncultured bacterium. RNAcentral describes it as "partial 16S ribosomal RNA". It matches the Rfam family "Bacterial small subunit ribosomal RNA", at positions 83 to 339 of the family's 1533-position model. The record is from RNAcentral.
ACCUUCGGGUUAGUGGCGGACGGGUGAGUAACGCGUGAGAAUCUGCCCUCAGGAGGGGGAUAACGGCUGGAAACGGCCGCUAAUACCCCAUAUGCCGCGAGGUGAAAUGAAUUUCGCCUGAGGAUGAGCUCGCGUCUGAUUAGCUAGUUGGUGGGGUAAGAGCCUACCAAGGCAUCGAUCAGUAGCUGGUCUGAGAGGAUGAUCAGCCACACUGGGACUGAGACACGGCCCAGACUCC